AGUUAUAUAAUUUUCGUCGAAGCGUAUCGUCGAACCGCUAAUUCAUCGCACCUUUAGUGUACGAUGAGAUCUGCUUUCCAUUACGUAAGUGUCGACCCUGUCGUCAUUUGUUUUUCCCAAAGUGAGUGAAAUUGGGUAUUUUCUCCAAGUGUCGCAACUAUUGUGCAAUUUCAAGUUAUCUGUACAGAUUGCUUUUCGACUAGCGAAACGGUCUAAAAAUACACCCCAUUUUUGCCAGUUUCCUUGCUUGUCGGUUUUUUUCAUACGAACAUCAUAUCAAUUAGAGUUAAUUAUCAACUUAUUUUCUUCGCGGCACAUGAUCAUCUGUCUUGUUUUUUUGUCCUGGUAUAUCCCCCAAAAUGCGAUAACACUCACGACGCUUGACAGCUGCCAGAGCACAUAUAGCCCAGAUUCCUACACGCGAUCAGGCUUCAUUUGCUCAUUAGCAAUGUAGUCGGGUUUAUUCUAUCUCCGGGAUUAAUUGCUUAGCGUAAACAACUAAUUCUGUAUCAAGUCAACAACAGUUUUCACGGAAAGUUCCACCGUUUUAAAUUGCUUUUACCGUAAUAACGUAUAGGCACGAUACGGCUUACACUGCUCGCAAUGAUUUUCUGAUUACGUCGAAACAGGACGUAACCAAUUCGCAUAUUUGUGUGUUGGACGGUUUAACCUAUUCGCAAAUUUACAAGGUGCAGGGAAUAUCGACCUAAAUAGAACUAUGACGGAAGCGAAAUCGCCAGCGGCAAACUGCUCAGCUUUUAGUUAAGAUAUUCUCACAAGCUUUGCUAAAUUAGUUUUAACGUCUUAUUCAAUGAAGCGUGCGAAUAUUUUUCUUUGUACUUGUAUGACUACCGCAUGAUCAAAAAUAAUGGCCAAUUUACACCGUAUGUAACGGCCGGUGAACAAAGCUUUAGAUGUAGCUUUCCGUUUUCUUAACCGCUACAGGUGGCAGCACUGGUCGGCUGGAAAAGUGGUUGGAAUUGAAAACAAAUCAAUUUCACGAGCAUCGUAAAAUUGAUAGAAGAGUGCAUGUUCUUAUCUCAUUUUUACUUUUAUUUCUACUGUCAUAUGUAUACAUGAAUCUGACGUACCUUGCGUGUGUGCUCUUGCUCAUUAUUAUAUAAGUUUAAUUCUUCAAUUCUGAUAGGUGAUUUCCGGUAACCACCCAAUUCGUUUGUCACGCUAUCCCCCUCUUUAAUUUCAUUUGAUUGUUAGAACAUUCCAGAUAGAAAAAAGCCGAGACGUAGGAAGUAGAUUAUAAAUAAGUACAAAUUAUAUACAAGUAUUGUAUAUUAUAUGGGAUAUUAGAUAAUUAAUUCUGGGUUGUUGCAAGCAAAUCGCAAAGAUCGACAGAGGCGAGGACUAUCAAUAUUUUGGUCUAAUGAAUACUAUGAGCAGUUUUAUUCUACUCGUCUCUGGUUGUAUUCUGCUGGCAAAACGUAACGACACUUGUCACCUAACCUAACUUAAUUUAACAAACUGAUAUCGCAUCCUUAGUUUAGAUAAGGUUGAAGCUUAUAACUGCUUUUAUGAAAUUCCAGCAAUGCUUACAAUUCAAAGUAGAAGCUAUUUUUGGGAUGGCUAUCUAGUAAUUGCAUCACGAAAUCGACGAUAACUCGUGCAAAUAUAUUAUCAAUUAGCAAGAAAUGAUUUUAGUAUUGUUUCAUUAAUUGCACUAGAAAAUUGUAAUUGAACUGCAUGAAUCAUUAUAGCUAUGAAGAAAUUGAGAAAAUUAUAGAAUGUAUAUUAAAACAGAAUUCGAUCGGCAAAGUUUUGGAGAACGAAGUAUAAGAUUAAAUCUUUUCAACACAUUUAAAUAUUUAAACUUGACGCUAAAUCUGAAAUACUAAGAACUGUAUUUUUUGUUACAUUGUGAAAAGUAUGUUAUGUAUCAUCACUAUGAAUAAAGAUGUGCUGAAAAUUU
RNAcentral lists this long non-coding RNA (1924 nucleotides) under Neodiprion lecontei (redheaded pine sawfly). RNAcentral's name for it is "uncharacterized LOC124295458". The record is from RNAcentral. Lineage: Eukaryota; Metazoa; Arthropoda; Insecta; Hymenoptera; Diprionidae.